Molecule: long non-coding RNA, 1174 nt
Filed under: Ailuropoda melanoleuca (giant panda)
Lineage: Eukaryota; Metazoa; Chordata; Mammalia; Carnivora; Ursidae
Description: lncRNA (ENSAMEG00000031518.1)
Source: RNAcentral
GCACCAAUGUCCAUUUUCUGGUUUUGCUAUUACACUAUAGUCACAUAAAAUAUAACCAUUGGGGGAAACUGGACGGAGCCUACAUAGAACAUACCUGAACUACCUUUGCAACUUCCUGCAUAUCUAUAAUUAUUUUAUAAGUUUUAUAAAAAGCAAAAAAAAAAAAAAGCAGGUUUUCAUCAGCUUUUAAGCUCCUUCCAGUAGGCCUCAGCUUGCUAAUUCUAGAAACAGGAGAUGGAAGAAGUAAGACAUUCACCUUGUAAAUAUAAAUCUUUUCUUUUGCGAAUAUGCUAUGGAGUGGCGGGAUCAGCCACCCGUGUUUCUUCAGGUUAACGGCAGGAGAGAUUUCAGAACUGUUCCUUAGAUUCCAAGUUCUUAGUUCUUUUCUCACGCCAUCCUCUGCACCACUGGGUGGCUAGGAGAUAACACUCCUCCCCCCUCCUCAGACAAGGAGAGUUAAGCUCAUAGGGAACUGGCAUGCCGGAUUCACACAGUGAGGGUGGUAGAAAGAUAAGUUAGCAUCUCUCCCCAAGGACCACUCCAUCUGUAAAAUCAAAUUCCCUCUCAGCACCUGGGGAAAGUGCGGAAGUGUCUCCCCACUUACACUGCUGCUCUCUUAGGUCUACCAUUGGGAACACAUUUUUAUUGUAACACUGUGAAGCGAGAGGACUGAAACAGGGAGAACGGGUUGGACAAAUAAAAAUUGGAAAUUUGGUUCAGAAGCAUGGGACUUCAAAGAACCAUGAUACUUUCCACAGGUGAGGACUGGAAGGUCUUCAAGGGAAGUUUUCCCAGCAAGAUUUUAAAAGGCCGGAGCAAACAAACCUGUGCCACACCACACAAUAAAGACUGAAGAUAUUCCUGCUACUCCUGGAUGUCUGUGGCAGCCAAGCACCCCCUCCCAGUCUCAGCUCUGCUUCUGGUUCCCCUGCAUCUACUGUCCCUGACCCAAGUCACUGGUAAGGUAAGAACAACAAAGUUAUCUUAUGGGAAAGAAGACUUCCUGACUCCGAACCCUAAAAGAGCUGUAUGACAGUCAGGUUUUAUGUGUUGGAUAUUAAGGACUAAUGACUGACAGAAAAAGAUGGGUUGGUCAGCUCUAUGGCAAUUGCUUUGAACUCCUUAGAAAAAAAACACAGUGCCCACCUAGGAAAGCAGGUUAAGGCAUGUCCCU